RNAcentral lists this ribosomal RNA (119 nucleotides) under Chromobacterium violaceum. The record is from RNAcentral. Lineage: Bacteria; Pseudomonadati; Pseudomonadota; Betaproteobacteria; Neisseriales; Chromobacteriaceae.
UUUCUGGCGACCAUAGCGAGAUGGCCCCACGCCUUCCCAUUCCGAACAGGACCGUGAAACAUCUUAGCGCCGAUGAUAGUGUGGCAUUCGCCAUGUGAAAGUAGGACAUCGCCAGAUCU